AGAGUUUGAUCCUGGCUCAGGAUGAACGCUGGCGGCGUGCCUUAGGCAUGCAAGUCGAACGGUUGCCUUCGGGUAACAGUGGCAGACGGGUGAGUAACGGGUAGGAAUCUACCCCUUGGUGGGGAAUAACUUAUUGAAAGAUGGGCUAAUACCGCAUAAGUUCGUAAGAAGAAAGGGCGUAACUGCCCGCCGAGGGAUGUGCCUGCCUGCUAUCAGCUUGUUGGUGAGGUAAUGGCUCACCAAGGCUAUGACGGCUAGGGGGCGUGAGAGCGUGAUCCCCCACAAUGAAACUGCGACACGGUUCAUACAUCUACGGAUGGCAGCAACCAGGAAUAUUGCGCAAUGGACGAAAGUCUGACGCAGCGACGCCGCGUGCGGGAUGAAGGCCUUCGGGUCGUAAACCGCUGUGGAGAGGGAUGAAUUUUGACAGUACCUUUCUAGAAAGCACCUGCUAACUACGUGCCAGAAGCCUCGGUAAUACGUAGGGUGCUAGCGUUAUCCGGAAUCACUGGGCGUAAAGGGUUUUGUAGGCGGUAAGUUAAGUAGUGGGUUAAAGACUAAGGCUUAACCUUAGAUAUGCCCAUUAAACUAGCUAACUAGAGUUAGUUUGGGGAUGCUGGAAUUCUCGGUGUAGUAGUGAAAUGCGUUGAUAUCGAGAAGAACACCAAAGGCGGAGGCAGGCAUCUAAGACUAUACUGACGCUGAGAAACGAAAGCUAGGGGAGCGAAAGGGAUUAGAGACCCCUGUAGUCCUAGCCGUAAACGAUGAACACUAGCUGGUCGGGAUUUAUCCUGGCUGGCGCAAGCUAACGCGUUAAGUGUUCCGCCUGGGGAGUACGACCGCAAGGUUAAAACUCAAAGGAAUUGACGGGGCUGCGCACAACCAGCGUGCCAUGUGGUUUAAUUCGAUACAAAACGAUGAACCUUACCUAGACUUGACAUCCUGAUCAUAUUUUAUGGAAACAUAGAAGUCGGUUCGGCCGGAUCAGUGACAGCUGUUGCAUGGUUGUCGUCAGUUCGUGUCGUGAGGCGUCCUCUUAAGUGAGGUAACGAACGCAACCCCUGUUGCAUGUUAAAUAUCCAUGCAAGACUGCCCCUCUUAUUCGGGGGGAGGAAGGAGGGGACGACGUCAAAUCAGCAUGGCGCUUACGUCUAGGGCUACACACAUGGUGUAAUGGGUGGUACAACGGGUCGCGACGGGGUAACCCUGAGCUAAUCCUAAAAAGCCAUCCUCAGUUCGGAUUGCGGGCUGCAAUUCGCCCGCAUGAAGGGGAGUUGGUAGUAAUCGCGGGUCAGCUAUACCGCGGUGAAUACGUUCUCGCAGCUUGUACACACUGCCCGUCAAGUCAACAAAGUCAGCAGUGCCCGAAGUUGGUAUCCUUAACCCAAGUUUACUUGGGACAGGACCACCUAAGGUAAGGUUGGCGAUGGGGGCUAAGUCGUAACAA
This 1447-nucleotide ribosomal RNA is filed under the name metagenome. RNAcentral describes it as "bacterial SSU rRNA". It matches the Rfam family "Bacterial small subunit ribosomal RNA". The record is from RNAcentral.